GCCGGGCGUUGUGGUGGGCGCCUGUGGUCCCAGCUACUUGGGAGGCGGAGGCAGGAGACUCGCUUGAGCCCAGGAGUUGGAGGUUGCUGUGAGCUGUAAUGCCAUGGCACUCUACCCGGGGGGACAGCUUGAGGCUCUGUCUCAAAAAAAAAAAAAAAAUAGCCACUGCACUCCAGCCUGGGCAACAUAGCAAGAUCCCAUCUCUU
This 206-nucleotide signal recognition particle RNA is filed under the name Otolemur garnettii (small-eared galago). RNAcentral's name for it is "Metazoan signal recognition particle RNA". It matches the Rfam family "Metazoan signal recognition particle RNA". Rfam says of the family: The signal recognition particle (SRP) is a universally conserved ribonucleoprotein. It is involved in the co-translational targeting of proteins to membranes. The eukaryotic SRP consists of a 300-nucleotide 7S RNA and six proteins: SRPs 72, 68, 54, 19, 14, and 9. The record is from Rfam by way of RNAcentral. Lineage: Eukaryota; Metazoa; Chordata; Mammalia; Primates; Galagidae.